This 374-nucleotide ribosomal RNA is filed under the name uncultured organism. RNAcentral describes it as "partial 16S ribosomal RNA". It matches the Rfam family "Bacterial small subunit ribosomal RNA", at positions 527 to 896 of the family's 1533-position model. The record is from RNAcentral.
GUAGGUGGCAAGCGUUGUCCGGAAUUAUUGGGCGUAAAGCGCGCGCAGGCGGUCCUUUAAGUCUGAUGUGAAAGCCCACGGCUCAACCGUGGAGGGUCAUUGGAAACUGGGGGACUUGAGUACAGAAGAGGAAAGCGGAAUUCCAAGUGUAGAGGUGAAAUGCGUAGAGAUUUGGAGGAACACCAGUGGCGAAGGCGGCUUUCUGGUCUGUAACUGACGCUGAGGCGCGAAAGCGUGGGGAGCAAACAGGAUUAGAUACCCUGGUAGUCCACGCCGUAAACGAUGAGUGCUAAGUGUUAGGGGGUUUCCCGCCCCCCUUAGUGCUGCAGCUAACGCAUUAAGCACUCCGCCUGGGGAGUACGGCCGCAAGGCUG